RNAcentral lists this microRNA precursor (92 nucleotides) under Myotis lucifugus (little brown bat). RNAcentral describes it as "miRNA (ENSMLUG00000022702.1)". Lineage: Eukaryota; Metazoa; Chordata; Mammalia; Chiroptera; Vespertilionidae. The record is from RNAcentral.
GGGGGCUGCGUGUGUGUGUGUGUGUGUGUGUGUGUGUGUGUGUGUGUGCUCGCGCGUGCUCACGCUUAAACAAGGCGCCCAUGGCCUCCCGC